Leopardus geoffroyi (Geoffroy's cat) is the source of this 903-nucleotide long non-coding RNA. RefSeq lists it as uncharacterized. The transcript is spliced from 2 exons. The record is from RefSeq and is a predicted model, not a curated record. NCBI's taxonomy places the organism in Eukaryota, Metazoa, Chordata, Mammalia, Carnivora, Felidae.
ACGCAGGGGAGAGCUGAGGAGGGGUGUGGGAGUAGUGAGUAGCUCUAAGCACACAGAUAUUAUACUUGAGCGAGGUCACCUUGGUUCAAGCCCCAGCUUGACCAGUUACCAGAUAUUGUAUAACCUUGGGAAAUUAUUGAACUUCUUUGUUCCUUCACUUACCUGUUUAUAAAAUGGGGAUGAUGACAGUAACUUACACCAAGGGCCACUGAAAUGGUUAAAUGAGUUUAGUGUAAAUCACUUAGAAAAGUGCCUGACGCUUGGGCAGUCCCCUAUGGCCCAGCCCCGACCUGAUCUUGCUCUGACCCUUUGUGAGUAGAUGACAGGACAGUCAGUCACCUGUGACCCUCUCCUCUCAUAAGGGGCAGGAAAGGAAGGACCUUGGCCUUCAGGCUGGCAGUGAGGCCAGGGCAGGCUGCCAGCUGCAUAGCUCCACCUGGUUAGGGCAAUAAGUUUGUGUAAGAUUUGAGCCCUUCUCUCCCUGUAACUUCUCAGCCCAAGUUCCUCUGCUUAGGAAGGGACCUUGGCCAAGUUCUCAGUUUUGCUCCACAACCUUUGUCCUCAUUGUUCUUCUCAGUGUGCACCAUGUCUGGUGCCUGCCAUGUUAGUCAGGACCCUCAGUGACUCUCUGGGACUUUGGCUUUUCCUCUCAGUGCCCCGGUGAGGGUGUACCUGGCUGCCUGUAUCUACACACCCGAUGUCCUUCAUGUGAGGUGCUGCUCCCAACUGUCAGCAGCACACCUCCUCACAGGGCCGAGAAAAGUGGGAGAGAACAUGGAGAUCCUUUUCAGUGUGACUGUCCUAAGGAACAAGCUGCCCAGAGUUUCAGACCCAGUACCUAGAACAGGACUUUAAACCUGGUAAUACCUAAAAAACACUUGCAAAGUAAAUUAAUACCUUUCA